Malus domestica (apple) is the source of this 321-nucleotide non-coding RNA. NCBI's taxonomy places the organism in Eukaryota, Viridiplantae, Streptophyta, Magnoliopsida, Rosales, Rosaceae. The record is from RefSeq and is a predicted model, not a curated record.
UUGGUUAUGUGCUUUAAAAUAACGUUUAUAUAGUUGUUUCGCACAUAGGUGAGACCUAUCCUGAGGAUGAGCGCAGUCAAGCAAGGCUUGGGGGUUACGACCUUUCCACAUAUCAGUUUUAGGUGAUAGUGCUUAUUGGUGGCUUACGAGGAAUUCACGGCAGCUCUAACAGAUUAUCACCAAUGUAGGAUUACCUUUGGUGUUGUAUAAUUAGUAUUCGUCCUGCUGGACUGCACUUAGGCUAGUUAUGCUCUGAUUGUGAACUCACACUUAAUAUCGCACUUGCAUCUUAUCUUAUCUAGUUGGUUCGGCUUUUGUUUA